This 66-nucleotide transfer RNA is filed under the name Erianthus versicolor. RNAcentral's name for it is "tRNA-Arg". Lineage: Eukaryota; Metazoa; Arthropoda; Insecta; Orthoptera; Chorotypidae. The record is from RNAcentral.
AAGUAAGAAACAAAUAUAAUUGUAUUCAGUUUCGACCUGAAAUAAAGGUUAAUCAACCCUUAUUUA